Molecule: ribosomal RNA, 425 nt
Filed under: uncultured bacterium
Lineage: Bacteria
Description: bacterial SSU rRNA
Rfam family: Bacterial small subunit ribosomal RNA
Source: RNAcentral
GGGGAAUUUUGGACAAUGGGCGAAAGCCUGAUCCAGCCAUUCCGCGUGAGUGAAGAAGGCCUUCGGGUUGUAAAGCUCUUUCGGCAGGAACGAAACGGCCGUUUCUAAUAAAGACGGCUAAUGACGGUACCUGAAGAAGAAGCACCGGCUAACUACGUGCCAGCAGCCGCGGUAAUACGUAGGGUGCGAGCGUUAAUCGGAAUUACUGGGCGUAAAGCGUGCGCAGGUGGUUGUUUAAGACAGAUGUGAAAUCCCCGGGCUUAACCUGGGAACUGCGUUUGUGACUGGACAGCUAGAGUGCGGCAGAGGGGGGUGGAAUUCCACGUGUAGCAGUGAAAUGCGUAGAGAUGUGGAGGAACACCGAUGGCGAAGGCAGCCCCCUGGGCCAGCACUGACGCUCAUGCACGAAAGCGUGGGGAGCAAAC